This 100-nucleotide transfer RNA is filed under the name Nitrososphaeria archaeon. RNAcentral's name for it is "tRNA-OTHER". It matches the Rfam family "tRNA". From Rfam's summary of the family: Transfer RNA (tRNA) molecules are approximately 80 nucleotides in length. Their secondary structure includes four short double-helical elements and three loops (D, anti-codon, and T loops). Further hydrogen bonds mediate the characteristic L-shaped molecular structure. tRNAs have two regions of fundamental functional importance: the anti-codon, which is responsible for specific mRNA codon recognition, and the 3' end, to which the tRNAs corresponding amino acid is attached (by aminoacyl-tRNA synthetases). tRNAs cope with the degeneracy of the genetic code in two manners: having more than one tRNA (with a specific anti-codon) for a particular amino acid; and 'wobble' base-pairing, i.e. permitting non-standard base-pairing at the 3rd anti-codon position. Lineage: Archaea; Thermoproteati; Nitrososphaerota; Nitrososphaeria. The record is from RNAcentral.
GGGCCCGUAGCUCAGCCAGGAUAGAGCACCGGAAGAAGCUUUUUAGCUUCUGGUGAAGCUUUUAACCCGGGGGUCGCGGGUUCAAAGCCCGCCGGGCCCG